UGGGGAGUGGUGCAAUUGGUAGCACACCGGCUUUUGGUGCCGGGUGUUCCAGGUUCGAGUCCUGGCUCCCCAGCCA
This 76-nucleotide transfer RNA is filed under the name bacterium. RNAcentral describes it as "tRNA-Gln". It matches the Rfam family "tRNA". From Rfam's summary of the family: Transfer RNA (tRNA) molecules are approximately 80 nucleotides in length. Their secondary structure includes four short double-helical elements and three loops (D, anti-codon, and T loops). RNAcentral also lists the same sequence under 1 other name. The record is from RNAcentral.